UACGGUAGGGCGCAAGCGUUAUCCGGAAUUAUUGGGCGUAAAGAGCUCGUAGGCGGUUUGUCGCGUCUGCCUUGAAAGUCCGGGGCUCAACUCCGGAUCUGCGGUGGGUACGGGCAGACUAGAGUGAUGUAGGGGAGACUGGAAUUCCUGGUGUAGCGGUGAAAUGCGCAGAUAUCAGGAAGAACACCCGUGGCGAAGGCGGUUCUCUGGGACGGUACUGACGCUGAGACGCGAAAGCGUGGGGAGCGAACAGG
RNAcentral lists this ribosomal RNA (254 nucleotides) under uncultured bacterium. RNAcentral describes it as "partial 16S ribosomal RNA". It matches the Rfam family "Bacterial small subunit ribosomal RNA", at positions 524 to 776 of the family's 1533-position model. The record is from RNAcentral.